Molecule: ribosomal RNA, 500 nt
Filed under: uncultured bacterium
Lineage: Bacteria
Description: partial 16S ribosomal RNA
Rfam family: Bacterial small subunit ribosomal RNA
Source: RNAcentral
AUUGAACGCUGGCGGCAUGCCUUACACAUGCAAGUCGAACGGCAGCACGGGAGCAAUCCUGGUGGCGAGUGGCGAACGGGUGAGUAAUAUAUCGGAACGUGCCCAGUCGUGGGGGAUAACGUAGCGAAAGCUACGCUAAUACCGCAUACGAUCUAUGGAUGAAAGCGGGGGAUCGCAAGACCUCGCGCGAUUGGAGCGGCCGAUAUCAGAUUAGGUAGUUGGUGAGGUAAAGGCUCACCAAGCCGACGAUCUGUAGCUGGUCUGAGAGGACGACCAGCCACACUGGGAGUGAGACACGGCCCAGACUCCUACGGGAGGCAGCAGUGGGGGAUUUUGGACAAUGGGCGCAAGCCUGAUCCAGCAAUGCCGCGUGCAGGAUGAAGGCCUUCGGGUUGUAAACUGCUUUUGUACGGAACGAAACGGCGAGCUCUAAUACAGUUUGCUAAUGACGGUACCGUAAGAAUAAGCACCGGCUAACUACGUGCCAGCCGCCGCGGUAA